AUUGAACGCUGGCGGCAUGCCUUACACAUGCAAGUCGAACGGCAGCACGGGUGCUUGCCCCUGGUGGCGAUUGGCGAACGGGUGAGUAAUACAUCUGAACAUGUCCUGUAGUGGGGGAUAGCCCGGCCAAAGCCGGAUUAAUACCGCAUACGAACUACGGAUGAAAGCGGGGGACCUUCGGGCCUCGCGCUUUAGGGUUGGCCGAUGCCUGAUUAGCUAGUUGGUGGGGUAAAGGCCUACCAAGGCGACGAUCAGUAGCUGGUCUGAGAGGACGACCAGCCACACUGGGACUGAGACACGGCCCAGACUCCUACGGGAGGCAGCAGUGGGGAAUUUUGGACAAUGGGCGAAAGCCUGAUCCAGCAAUGCCGCGUGUGUGAAGAAGGCCUUCGGGUUGUAAAGCACUUUUGUCCGGAAAGAAAUCCUUGGCCCUAAUACGGUCGGGGGAUGACGGUACCGGAAGAAUAAGCACCGGCUAACUACGUG
Molecule: ribosomal RNA, 486 nt
Filed under: uncultured bacterium
Lineage: Bacteria
Description: partial 16S ribosomal RNA
Rfam family: Bacterial small subunit ribosomal RNA
Source: RNAcentral